This 21863-nucleotide long non-coding RNA is filed under the name Aquilegia coerulea. RNAcentral describes it as "long non-coding RNA (ACOE_LNC000173)". The record is from RNAcentral. Lineage: Eukaryota; Viridiplantae; Streptophyta; Magnoliopsida; Ranunculales; Ranunculaceae.
ACAUGUUUACAUCUAAACCAUAUUCUCCUUAGGCAACACCCCUUUGUACACCACACCAAAUCCCCCUUGCCCCAAUUUGUUCUUGUCGUCGAAAUUGUUGGUGGCUCUUUUCAAAUCCUUAAACCUGAACUCCCUAGGUGUCCCUGGCAAGCUCUUCAAUGCCCCAAGUAUGUUAGUAUCAUUUCCCCCAAGACGAAUGCGUCUCUUUUUCAAGUAAUAGAUUAAAACCAAUAUAGCUACUAGCAAUAGGAGCAGUCCAGGAACAUCAACACCUACUAAAAUUUUGAUCCAUUUGGUGUCUUUCUCUUGUGGAAGAAUCUGAACAGUGAGAUUCCAUCCGAGCACACAGUUGAGUUGAGUCCAAUUGCCAGUAGAGGCUGCAAAUCCAAAGUAAGAUUGUUGAUUGACAUAAUCCCUGAGGUUCAACUGAAUAUCUAGAAGUGGUACAGCAGGUCUGGGUAAACCUUCCAAGGCCAUGUAAGCUUUAAAAACUUUGUCGACGCCAUCAUAUUGGAUCCAGACAGUGUAGUUCUUGGGGUCUAAAGGUGCAAUUUCGAUGUUGUGAUUGGACAAGGAGACAGUAGUAUUAGAUCGAAUAGAAUUAAGGUCAAGACCCAUGUGGUUAUCAUCAGGGUCAAAAUCCUGUUUAACAGUAUCAAGUUCAAGAGCAACAAGUUGGUUAGAAGAAAGGCCAUCAAGAGUGGAAUUUGUAAGACCCAAGUAUUGAGCUUCACUAGCAAUAGGAGGGGAUGAUAAAUCUGGAGCUAUAAUGAAAGCAAAACCUUCACCAGCAGUAGUGUUUGGGGAACGAUAAAUGUUAAUAAGGAAAGAAGUGUUGAAAGAAGCAACUAUAUUUGUUUGUUUAUGGGUUCCAUCCAUUUGAAGAAGUUACACUUUGGUAUACCAUUGUAGAACAGAGCACAACCAAUGAACUGCCUCCCAGCAUUUUCAGGUGUCCACGCGAUUUUAAUAGGAGAAGGAGCUCCACAACUGCAAGAACGAGAAGAAUUAACACUAGAAGAUGACGAAGACAUGGUGAAGAAUUGGGGAUUUGAAUUAGGGAUUUGAAGAUGAUGAAGAAUUCAAAGUGAGAAGAAUUGGGGAUUUUAAUUAGGGAUUUACAGAUUUGUUGAAUUGAAUUGUGAAAAUAGAGAAGAAGUCAGUCACAUGAGAAACAUGUGCCUCAUUUUGAUGUGUUGGAAAUGUUGUUUAACUUUAUUUUAAAAGAAAAAAUACACGUAGAUAAAUAUUCGCCACGUCUGCAGUCCGUUAGCAUGUUUUAGACAGAUUGUAUAACGUGGAAAAAAUUUCAAAGUACAUUGAUGUUUUGACGUGAUUUUUUGUACAUUGUAUAAAGUGAAAAAAAAAGUGAAAGUACGUUGUAUUUUUUGAUCAUUUUACCUAUAUUUAAAAUCACAGGGAAAAAAAAAAAGUGUAGUCAAGCAUUGUAAAGAUGUUCACUAGUCUUUGUCUGCAAAUAUCACUACAUCAGAUUCAGAUGAUCCCAUAUCAUGAUAUCAUUGAACACCUUGCCAACGAAUGGAUCGAACCAAUAUGUUACAUGUAUAAGAUCUGUACUAAGUUCUUUGCUGCUGUCUAGAGCUAUCAGUUCUUUUCGGCAUUUUCUUAUGUUAGCCAAAAAAACCCAAUAUAAAACCGUAAUUAUACCAAACCGAUUGCACUUACAUAUAAAAUCUCCACACAAUGUCAUUUUAGCUAGUGUGAAAGAUAGGCCAAAUGGUAAUCAUAUACGCGUCCAGUGAGAAUGAAACCUAAUUGCUACCUAAUCAAACAUAUGCUUCUUAUGGUUAUUGAAUACAAUUUCGUAUGUAAGCAUUUUGCCAUCUCACACUUUAAGAAUGGCUAGCUAGUAGCACAUAGAUAGUGUGUUAUUCUGUUAGAUAAGAAAACAAGAAGAAGAUGAAGAAGAAUGAGGAGAGAAAACAAAAGAAUAAAUUCCAUUCACAAUGACAUAAGGUAAAAAAGUACCAUUCACUUCCCACACAAACUUAAUAGUUAAUACCAUAUUUGGUUAUGCUAUAGCAAAUUUGUUUGUUUGUUGAUAAAAUGUUCAUUUUGGUCAUUGUACUUUGCAUGUUUUUGCAGUUUGGUCAUAAAAGUUAUUUUUUGUCAGUUUGGUCAUAAAACUUACAUUUUGUUAUCAGUUCAGUCACAAGUUAAGUCGUAGUUAAGAGCAACUUUUUUUACGAAACUGACUAAACUGAUAACAAAAUGUAACUUUCAUGACCAAACUGACAGAAAAAAAGUGUUGUGACCAAACUGCAAAAACAUGCAAAAUACAAUAUAUGACCAAAAUGGACAUUUUAUCUUUGUUUGUUUGUUUUUUUUUUUUUGUUUUUUUUUUCUUCUGAGUGUAGCAAAUUUGAUUGUGUCAUCACUGGAAAUCUGGAAUCAUAUACAGUAUGUGCAAGUUUCACAACAUGCGAGAAGUUGGAGUAAACUGGAAAUUGUAACUGCAUCUGUGCAUAUAUUAUGUUUAAAUCAUUUUUCUACAAAUGUGAUGUAGUGAAUCUCCAACAAUUUAUAACCAGUCUAAAACCAUAAUCAAGUACUUAAUAUGUUUUGUUCUUCCUGUAAUGCUAUUGCAAAUUGUAAGAUGUAAUACAUAUACAGGAAAAAAUACCAAUGGCUUAGUUAAAGAUCCUAAUUCAGAUUAUACAAUCAGUUAGUUAUUGUUGACAUCAGUCGAAUAAAAAAGCGAUAACAUGAAACAAGACCUAGAAUAUUGGUAUUCAUACUGUUUAUCUUCAACAAGCAACUACUGUAUAGUUUUCCUCCAGGCUAUAAAAUUUCUGGGCUAUGAGAGACGAGAAGCACACAUGUUUUGUAUAUACUAACUAUUUGUUAAUUUUGCAGAUUCAACUGAGGUACCUUGACAGCCUUUAUAUUAUUAGCUGAAUUGAUCCACGCCAUGGUAAAUGAAGAAAUCGGGUUGCCUAUGAAAUAAGCUUUUACUGAUUCUUGGUAAGACUAUGGAUCAUCUUAGUGUGAUCUAAUAUUAUCUUACUUCUUCAGUGAUGUUUUUCUGUUUAUAAAGCAAUUUUAAGAUAAUUGGAGUCACAAAAACCAUCCAACAACCACAAUAUUCAAAAAAAAACCCACAAUAUUCCUCACCUAGCUCACCUAAACUAAGUAAAACCCAAACUUUACCUAAAUUCAGUUCCACUGCUGUGCAACAUUGUAAGACAAAGGUAGUCUCAAUUCUCAAAACACUGCAAAUAUUCCGUCAGUGUUGGGUUACAUCCAGUCCCAUGUAUUACUUUUCCUUCUGAUCUACAUUAUUUGAUGUAUAAGAAAAUGAGCAACUCUACCAUUCUUCAGAGUUCAGAUUAUGUAAUUGUGAACUUUCCCUCAGCUUAUUUGGUGUUAUUGUAAAGGGGAACUAUAUUUGUUUGAUUGAUUGAAAGCCUCAGCAAAGUAUGUUACUAUGUUAUCAUGCCUUUGUUUGGAAUUUGGAUGCAUGUGUGUGAUAUUGAUAGAUAUGCUUCUGUUUAGAAAAAGCAUUACUGUCUCAUUCCUCCAUUUGUGGACCUGUAAAGGAAAAGCAGAUUCUCUGCACCCUACAAAAGAAAAGGCAACAUAAAGGAUAAAGAUGAAAUUCCCUGGAAAGUAAUAUUUUUCCAUGUACAUUAUUUUUCCUAAACAUUUCAGUAUUCCACAAUCCACAUUGUAAUCCUAUGGGCCUAGAAUUUUUUGAGAGCAAACAGAUUGAAUGUAUUUGCCUGUUAGGUAGAACAAGGUGGUGUUUAGGUCUUACAAUAUUUGCUAGUAGAAAAUGGCUAGUAUAAUUAGUACACAAUUAGGAAAAACUAGCCUUUAAUAAACCAUUAGGAAAAAACACGCUGCUUACUACCGUUAGCGCACAAUGUCAAAAUCUAAUCACUUCGUACAUCUAGGUUGCAUAUCGCAACAACAACAUUAGCACAUUGCAACAUUGUCAAUCUGUUCCGUUUGAUCAUCAGUUUAUAUAAAGGCAGUCAAGUUAUUCAGCUCAGGGUCUUGUUCAGUUGUUGGAAAAUAUGCUGAAUUUAGGAAAAACAUUUCCUAUAAAAAUUUCCGAAAAAGUGAAAACAAUUUUCUAGUUUUACAAACUGGCCGGUUCUUGAGUUAGUGCAUGUGACGGAUUUACCAAUGAGAAAAGUUUUUCCCAUGAAAGGAAAAAAUAUUUUCCUUCCAGUUAUAUUUUUUUUUUUUUUGGAAGUUUUGUUAAGGUCACUGAAAGCAUGACACAGCAAACUGGCAUUCUUCUUCUUCUUUAAGCUGUUGACACCUAACAUUUGUAUUUGUUUUUCCCUCUUUCGUCGAUUUCUAGGGUUAGAGUUUAUCCCCAAAAUUACCAAUUUCAAUCAACAAUCAAUAAUUUCAGUUUUAAGGUUAGUGUUUUAAUGAAAUUAGGGUUCAUUUUGUAGUUUUAGAAAGAUGAGAAAACCCAAAUUCGAUACAUUUAAAUCACUAAGUCGAAGAAAAUCAAUUCAAUUUUUGAUCAUUAUAGCAAUUUUGUAUCUUUUCUUAGUUAGUUUCGAAAUCCCAUUUCUAUUUAGAAGUGGGUUUGCUGCUGUUCCUAGUUUAUCUCAUGAAUUAAAUAGUGAACAAGAUUUAGUUAAGAAUGUCUCUCCAGUUCGACCAUUGGAGCAGAGUAUUUCAAGUAAAAAUAAUAGAAUUGUAUCAGGUUUGGUGUUUUUAGAUACUUUGUUUGAUAGUAGUAGUGAAGAUAGUUUUUCUGAGCUUCAGAAAUCUGCAAAAGAUGCUUGGGUUGUUGGGAAGAAGUAUUGGGAAGAACUUGAAUCAGGGAAAGUUUUAAUCUUUAAAGAGAAGAAUUUUCCCAAGAAUCUUUCGGAAACUUGUAAAAGUUCAAUUUCACUUACUGGUUUGGAUUUUAGAAGAAAUGGUAGUAUUUUGGUUCUUCCUUGUGGAAUGACUUUAGGAUCACAUAUUACAGUUGUUGGGCAACCUAAUCCUGCUCAUGUAGAGUAUACUCCAAAGAUCAGACUUGUGCAAGAUGAGUCUCAGGCGGUUAUGGUGUCACAGUUUAUGUUGGAGUUGCAAGGACUGAAAACAGUUGAUGGUGAAGACCCGCCAAGGAUACUGCAUUUGAAUCCUAGGUUAAAGGGUGAUUGGAGUGGUAAACCUGUUAUUGAGCAGAAUACUUGCUACCGUAUGCAAUGGGGAUCUGCACUUAGGUGUGAAGGGUGGAGAUCAAGGGCAGACGAAGAAACUGGUAGGUCAAUUUGAUUAGUAUAUUUUCUUAGACUAUUGAUGCAUCAAAUAUCUGUUCUUAUCAUUUUAUGGCAUGCCUUUUUCUUAUUUAGUGUUUGAUUCUCUACUGCCAUAUAGAGUGAUACUUUCAAUCAAAUAGUCUAGUGUUCAUCAAUUUCAAAUUUAUGUCGACCUAAUUUCAUCAUUUAUAACUAUGUGAGUGGUGUCUGCCGUUGAAGUUAACAUGCUACACGUGUAGAAUAAAAGGGCUUGGUCCUUAUGGCAAUUCUGUCUGCACAGUGCUGAAUAAAAAAGCACGGUCCCUUAACUAAUGGUGUGUUAUGCACUUUAUUUAGCAAAAAAAGGUGUGUUAUGCACUUUGACUAAUUUUUUUGAUAUCUUCCAGUUGAUGGACAGGUCAAGUGUGAGAAAUGGAUACGUGAUGAUGACAAUCAUUCAGAGGAGUCAAAAACAACUUGGUGGUUGAACCGACUAAUAGGGAGAACAAAAAAGGUUACAGUAGACUGGGCUUUCCCAUUUGUAGAAGGCAAAUUAUUUGUCCUUACGCUGAGUGCUGGAUUAGAAGGUUACCAUAUCAAUGUUGAUGGAAGGCAUAUUACAUCUUUCCCGUACCGUACAGUGAGUAUCUUCGACCCGUUUUAAAGUGACACUAAUUCUGCUGUCCUUAAGCAUUUGAGUAUUGUUCUCAAGAUUGCUUAUGAUUUUUAUAGGGUUUCACUCUUGAGGAUGCAACCGGGUUGUCUAUUAUCGGGGAUAUUCAAGUCCAUUCAUUAUUUGCAGCUUCCUUACCCACAACACAUCCAAGUUUUGCGCCACAUCAGCAUCUCAAUAUGUCAAGUAGAUGGAAGGCCCCAUCUCUGCCCGAUGGACCAGUGGAGCUCUUUAUCGGUAUCCUAUCUGCUGGCAACCAUUUUGCUGAGCGGAUGGCCGUAAGGAAGUCUUGGAUGCAGUCUACGUUGAUUAGAUCGUCAAAGGUGGUUGCCAGAUUCUUUGUAGCACUGGUAAGUGUGAUACUAAAUGGCAUCUGUCAUUCUGAUAUUCAUGUGUGUACAAAUACAUAAGGUUUAAUAUUGAUAUUUUGGACAGAACGUAAGAAAGGAAGUCAAUGUUGAGCUGAAGAAAGAAGCAGAUUUUUUUGGUGAUGUUGUUAUAGUCCCUUUCAUGGAUAGUUAUGACCUUGUUGUUUUAAAGACUGUUGCAAUCUGUGAUUAUGGGGUGAGUGUUGAGAUCAAGAAUAACAUUUAAAAUUUCAAUGCUCCAUUGAAUUUGGGAAUCAAUUGCUUCUGAUGCUUGUGUUUAUUAACAGAUUAACACGAUAUCUGCAAAGUACAUUAUGAAGUGUGAUGAUGAUACAUUUGUUAGAGUAGAUGCGGUCAUCCUGGAAGCGAAUAAAGUCCCUGAGGGUAAGAGCUUGUAUGUUGGGAAUAUAAACUACUACCACAAGCCUUUGCGUUCUGGGAAAUGGGCAGUGACAUAUGAGGUAUGUUUGGCCCUUGUUUUGUUUUUCUUUCUGUUGCUAUAUUGUCUUUUGGUUGGCUGGUAUUUUUAUAAGCUUAGUGAAAUAUUGGAGGACUUUUUUGUAAAAUUUGGUGGUUGCAAGAUUCUGCUCAUCAUAUUGUCCCUUCCUAGCGUUUCUAGGAAUUAUAUUAACAUUUUUUUAUCCAUUCACACAACAUGUUUUACAAAAUGCUCAUUCUAUUCGACAUAGAUAUCAUCUGAUAGAACCACGUUCAUAGGUUUUAUCGUAAAAGUACACUAAACUGAACUUCUUCUUCAGUUUACAGUUUACACAUGAUCUCUUGCAUUGUGUCAUUCAUAUAUGAUAAGUGAUGAGUAUACUGCUGACAUUUAGUUGUGGAGGUUCAAUUAGUUUUAUGAGUAUGACUCGUGCAGUUAUUUGUUACUUACUGUAUUUGGGACUAUUGCAGGAAUGGCCAGAAGAAAUUUAUCCACCCUACGCAAAUGGUCCAGGCUACAUACUUUCAUCUGAUAUUGCCAAGUUCAUUGUCUCUCAGUUUAAGAAACAUAAAUUAAGAGUUAGUAAACCCCUUCCUAUGGUCUCGUCUGACUUUGUAAAGGUAGUGUUGAUGACAAGAAUUUAACAAGUUUUAGUUGUUGUGCAGCUAUUUAAGAUGGAAGAUGUGAGCAUGGGUAUGUGGGUGGAGCAGUUCAGCAACACGACAUCAGUGGAGUAUCUUCAUAGCUUGAACUUCUGUCAGUUUGGUUGCAUUGAGGACUAUCUUACAGCACAUUACCAAUCUCCUAGACAAAUGAUCUGCAUGUGGGAGAAAUUGCAACGGCAGGGAAAACCAUUGUGUUGCAACAUGAGAUGACAAUGACUAGAUGAAAGCGAAGCUUGAGCCCAUACGAAAGACAAACAUAGAUACCAAAUUUUGCAGAUGUAGAAUCUUAUGGUGUAUAUAUUCUGAAGAUAAUUGGGAUGAGGAGGAAAUCUGGUUUAGGUUCAUUCAUUCUUUCUUUCCAUUUCUCAUUUUCCUUCUUUUCUUUGACCUUUUGGGAGGCUGGAGGUUGGUGGAUAGGGGGUAGGGUUGUCAGCAGCAUGUUAAUACAACAUUGCAACACCUCUGUAAUAUAAAUGUUACACCACAACAGUUGAAAAUGAAUAUAUCUAGAUUUUAAACAGCCAAUGCGGCAUCUCUAUUCUACUUCUAUGGUGUCUCAAAAAUCUAUUGAUAUGGUGUCUCGAAAUCAAAAUCUAUUGUGCAUUACUUCCCAUCUAUUUCUUCCUCAGUUGUGGCUCUAGAUUGUAAUGCAUUCUUGCGUGGUUACCGUUGAUAAUUUGCAGAAUCCCUGAAACAUAUUUUCCAUUUAGUAAUACAGUAGUAAACUAGUAAUAUACUACCAAAGUAGUUCAGUCAGGUAGAAUUCAUCAAAUAAACAAGUGAGUUCUAUUACCAUUUUUAAAGGCUACUAGUAGCAAUUCACAUGUAAGUGAGUUUGAAAACAAGAACUCCACUCUUUUUUCAAACAAACAUGGCGAUGGCAACUUCAUGUAUAAGAAAACAAAGAAGAGGAAACAAUCUCUCACUCUGUUAUCUCCAAAUUCAAUCUCUUCUCCCUUUUCUCUCUUUCUCAAUUCCUUACCUGAAACACCCAUUUUCAUCUUCAGCCCAAAACUCAUCUUCUCUAGUCAAACAAGUUCUCACUGCUAUACUACAAAACCGAUCUUUCGAUACCCAUCUUGUUGUUUCUGGUCCUAUAUGGACUAAUGAUACUGUUUGUGAAGUGUUAAGAUCAAUACCCAGAUUCCUUUUCCAAAGCAAUCGAUCCAUUGGUACACAAAGAGGUUUUCGACAUCGAGCACCUCUUAAACAAAGAAACCUUCAGAAAGAAUCCAAUGAUUUGCAACAAGGCAUUCGUGUUCUUGGUCCAGCUGGUUAUAGAGACCCCUUGAAGGUAAAUUUAGGAUUAGAUAAAGCAUUAGAGUUUUAUUAUUGGAUUGAAAAGCAUUUUGGUUUUUGUCAUAAUGAGAUUACUUGUAAAGAAAUGGCUUUGGUGUUGGCAAAAGGGAAUAGAUUGAAUGCACUUUGGGAGUUCUUAAGAGAAAUGGCUAGAAGAAAAGGUGAUGGGAAGCUUGUUACCACAAGCACUGUUACCUGUUUGAUAAAAGUUCUAGGAGAAGAGGGGUUGGUUAAUGAGGCAUUGGCUGCAUUUUAUAGGAUGAAGCAGUUUCAUUGUAAACCUGAUGUAUAUGCUUAUAAUACUAUUAUUUGUGCUCUUUGUCGUGUGGGAUUUUUUAAGAAGGCAAGGUUCUUGCUGGAGCAGAUGGAAUUGCCUGGUUUUAGGUGUCCUCCUGAUACAUAUACGUAUACUAUUUUUAUUAAUUUUUACUGUAAGUACAGCUUGCAGACUGGAUGUCGAAAGGCUAUUAGGAGGAGGUUGUGGGAAGCAAAUCACAUGUUUCGGCUAAUGGUGUUUAACGGUUUUGUUCCAGAUGUUGUAACAUAUAAUUGUUUGAUCGAUGGCUGUUGCAAGACAUAUAGAAUAGGAAGAGCGUUGGAAUUGUUUGAUGAUAUGAUAAAGAAGGGGUGUCUCCCUAAUAGAAUUACAUACAAUUCCUUUAUAAGAUACUAUAGUGCUGUUAAUGAGAUCGAUAAAGCUGUUGAAAUGAUGGGUAGAAUGAAAUUGGCGAACCAUGGUAUACCCACUACGAGUUCUUACACUCCAAUUAUCCAUUCUCUUUGUGAAGCAGGAAGAGUGCUCGAGGCACGGAAUUUCCUUGUUGAGUUAGUUGAUCAAGGGUCAGUUCCUAGAGAUUACACAUAUAGACUAGUUUGCGAAGCGUUGAAUUCUGCAGAUGAGGAUAGUUUGCCAGAUGAACUACGGAGAAAGAUUGAGGAUGGGAUGGAGCUAAGAUAUAGGCAAGUUAUGCAUGUGAAACCAAUGAUUUCCCAGCGAAGUUCAUAGUGGAAAGGUUAUUCAUGGGUGGAACGAAUGCAUCCAUUAAAAGAGUUUGGACAGCAAGAGGCUUUUAUAAUAUUGCUUUGUCACAGGUGAGAAUUUCCAUCCCAUUGUCCCAGCCUCCCAGGUUUCUGUUAUUGUUGUUCAUUUUUUACCUAUAGGUUGCUAGGCCACUGGCUUAAUUCUCAUUUUUUUUAUUCUGUGUAUACAUAUCUGAUAGUAUGGUACCAAGGGCAAGUUUUAUGUGCUUCCUGAAUCAUAAGUAGGACAAUAAUAUUUGGAGAUUCCAUUGGUUGUUAAUUAGGAUUAUCAUCUAAACUGUGGUUUGUGGUCUGCGCUUGAAAUUUUGUCAAGAAGUGAAUUUAUUCCAGUAAGUUGAAGUUUAAUGUUUCUAUAUUGACUAUCAUGUAUUGAGUUUGACAUGUCUAACUUAGGUGUUACAUGAUCUUCUACAUAAGCUAGGUAGACCUUUUCUUCACUUAUUUUUUACUUCAAACAUUUUAAUUGGAGUUUUAAUUUAGAAAUGCUUGGAGCUAUUGACAGCGUCAUGCAUGUCUUGAUUCUGUUCCAAGACAUUGAUGAUAAAUGAGACAAUCCUUACCAUAUCCCAUGCUUAGUUGUUAAGAUGGCCUAUCUCAGAACUUUCCGUACAAUCCAAGAAUAUAAACACCACUAAUCUCAGCUCUCCAACUAUAUUUAACCAACCCAUCAUUUAGUCUUCUCCAAUUGUGAACCCAAUGAAGCAGCCCCAGCAGUUUUCUGUAUACUUUCUCCUUUUGAUCCUGAACUUCUUGUUUCCUGGUAACUCCUGAACAUUGAAAUUAUCGUAUUUAGUUGUUUUAUAUAGUAAUUUUCACUUAAUAAAAAUCUAUAGUAGGAAAUGGUUAAGCCUGUAUCAUGGAAUGUCAUUUCUGAGAUGCUUUAUAUUUAUCAAGAAUAGGAUGAGGGCAUUAUUUUGUUAUGGUCUUAAUCUCAGAAUUUGGUGUUGCAGGGUAUGCCCAUGGAACAUUUGUGACUUUCUACAUCAACAACAAAUGCCCCUUCCCCAUAUGGCCUGCCACUGCUGCUAAUGCAGGUCAUCCCGUUAUUGCUGAGGGUGGGUUCUUUCUUCCUUCUAGCCAGACCAAACGCAUUGUGGCCCCAUACACGUGGAGUGGCCGGAUCUGGGCAAGAACUGGAUGUGACUUCAAUUCAAACUCUAAACCUGCCUGUGAAACUGGUGAUUGUGAGGGCCGACUUGCAUGUGGGGGGAGCAUUGGUCUCCCCCCAGCUACGCUUGUGCAGGUAUCCGUGCAACCAAAUGAGAGUCAGCCAACUUUCUACGAUGUCAGCUUGGUUGAUGGCUACAACCUCCCCGUUAGUGUAUCAACAAGAUCAAAACAAUCCAACUGUUUCAUUGGAGGGUGUUCGAAGAACCUUAACAGCUUUUGCCCUCAGGAACUUCAAGUCACCAACAAUCACGGGAAGGUAGUGGCAUGCAAAAGUGCCUGCUUGGCUUUUAAUCUUGACACGUUCUGUUGCAGGAAUGAUUAUGGAAGCCCAGACAAGUGCAAUCCAAAUGUGUACUCGAAGAUGUUCAAGAAUGCUUGUCCCUCUUACUUCAGCUAUGCUUUUGAUACUCCUAUGCCGUUGGUUAGUUGUAAAUCUACAGAAUAUGUCAUAACAUUCUGUCCAUCUAAGUGGGGCGAGCACACAUCCAUAUAGGUACUGUAAUGCGUUCCAGUGUUCCCUUGAGCUUCAAGCGGAUUAUCCAAUCUGAAUCAUGUUUACUUUAAUAUGUAUACAUCUCUAUUUAGAGUUAAGGACGUUCUACAGCUCUCCCUCUCUUUUUCCUACUUAUUUCUCCUUUUUGUACGCUCAUUUUACCUGUAGUGUUUUUUUCUUCUUCUUAAGUUUGCUGAGCAUCCUUGCCCAUAAAACAAAGUAUGUUCUUAUUCUAGUUUUUUUUGUAGUUUACUCUCUUUACUCCUUAGGAAAGUGUACUAUCAAAAACCAAGAUAAUGCAUCAAAUGCGUUGACAAUUCACGAUUCAAAUCCAGUCGCAAAUUCAUAUUACUAACUAAUUUCAUCCCUGUUACUUAUGAGCAGAAUAACAAUUGAAAUUAGCUGGUACCUUCAUUGUAAUAUAUCGAUUAUAAUAUCAUGUUUUAACCAGUAAACUUAAAGCCAAAGAUUGAAGAGAAUUGAAAAGGAAUCCCCACCAAAAGCACUAAACACAAAAAGGAAAAGUGAGUCUCCAAACUCCAAAGGUAGUCAUUUUCACAAGGUUCCUAAAUUUGUGUCCAUCGUAUAUGUGUAAAGGUACAACUUAGGAAGCCUACAGGGAUGGUGCUAGCUCAAGGAAAAUGAGUUCUGAAACGUAGUAGCCCUUUAACAGAGCACCUAUGAUCCUCUGCAAUUUCUUUACUGAUCAAUGUGGUGUCUGUUUCAAUCAAAUUAGCCAACAAAAGGCAUAAUAAAGCCUUUGAUGAUGUCAAAAGUUUCUUUACAAUGCCUUGUGAUUGUGACGACAAAAUCUCGAUGAGCAUCGAAGCAAAUGAUAACUGCCAACAAUUAAAUUCCUUGGCCAUGAAUAACAAUGCUUCAAUAAGUGGUGGAUCCUAGUAGCAAAAUGUGGAAACAUUGCCUUUGUGAUAAAGCUGAUUCUUUCUUAGUGGAUGAAUCUCUUUUCUGAAAAAAGUUUUAAGUAUUUAGCUAUUUAAUCCUUUAAAAUAUGGUUUGAGCUUCUACAGUAGUAGAACCAUUUUGCAAGCUGUGGAAUUGUUUAGAACCUAUAAACAACUUCUAAUGAUUACCAAAUAUUUCAUCUAAUCUACACCAAACACACUUAAAAAUGUAACAUUGGUUGUAAAUACACACAGUCACAAAGUACAAAAAUUUGUGAAACAGAACUUUCUUUGAAGGGGGGUAAUCAAAAACAUAAUUGAAAGUUACAUCUUGUAAUUGUUAUUUACAUUGUCAAUCCAGAUUACACCAUUGGUGUUAACAUGUACAAGAUUAUAAGUGUGCCCAAAUAAGAUACCAUGCCAAGGAAGAUAUCAUCCAAGUUCCUGCACAAUAACACCAUCAUCAAAUUCAAAAUGAAAAAUUCCAUAAAUUUCAUGUAAGAUGAAUGAAAUUAGAGACUAUAUGUGAUAACUUACCUAUCUUCCUUGGAAGCAAUCUCACAUCAUUGCUCAAGUUGGCUGCGAAGUAGCAAUCUGUUGUAGUGUUCAACCAAUCAACACAGUUACAUGUAAAAGAAUUAUAGCUUCCACUAUAUCCACAUACUCCAUUACUCCUUUCACAACUGCUACAUGCACUUGGAAAAUCAUUUUUGACAUUAAAUUUAUACUUCAGAGCUAUACCAAAAUUCCAACUUUGCGGAUUAGAUUCCCGACCAUUGAAGCUAUAGAUGGAAGCAUAAGAAGUACAUUGUAGUUUUUGUAGAUCCAUUUCAAAUGCAGGACCAAGAUCAAUUGGUGUAUAUACACAACAUGUCGAUAUAGGAAGGUUAAGCCUAGUGAUGGGUGGGCAGGAGUAAAGAAGACUGCAUAUUGGCGCACCUUCGUUAUCACAUAAAGGCACUAUGGAAUUAUUGACACCAUCUUGUGAAUUAUAGAGUGGUGAGGAAGCUGUGGAACAAUCAAUGAGCGCAAAAACAUUGUCGUCCAUGAAUGUAAAAGGCGCAUCCCAAUCUAGGCCAAAUCCUUUACUAGGCUGUGUUGAUGAACAAGUUGACAUAGAUGGAUCUUGGAUGUACAGAACAUGGUUGUUAUAGUCUAUGUUAUCAAUAGUAUAGCAACCACUAUGAGUGUUGAGAAUGAGCUUCUGUUGAUCACAUGUUACAUAUUUUUGAAACCUUGGAUCACCGCAUCCAGGUCCACUGCCAAAAGGGUACCUGAUAAGCUGAUUUCCACAUGAUUUCUUGCAGGCUUGGGAUGAAAUUAGUGAGGGGAGAAAGAUAAGGAAGAUGAAAGAAAGAAGUGAGAUGGAAGAAGAUCUAAGCUUCAUGUUUAUGGUCUGUAAGUAAGUGUUCCAAGUCUUAAGUCAAAUGAGUGUGGAGAGUGUAUUAUUUAGUUGCAAGUCUGCUAUCUUACAAUUACUUCCUUUAUAGAAUCUAGAGACAGUGUGACAGCAAGUGUCUUUUUAGAUAGUGGGUUUCUUUUGAUCUCUAUGCUUUUUCUUAAGAUGCUUUGGUAUCAUUAAUAUUAUUUGUUCUGUUUCAUGUUUUCUUCUCUUGUAUUCAGGGUGAGAUUUCUAGAUAUAUAUCCAUAUUCCUUUUUAUAAGUUUAGUUACAAAACAAACUAGAUGAGCUGAAAGAUUACUUGAAGAAGCACUAUAUUUACGGAAAGUGCAUUUAUAUUUUGAAAUUGACCCUUUUAUAUCUUGGAAGGGUAGGAACUUAUCAUGCCUUGGUCAUGUUGCUUAUAAUUCAUGUACACUGUUUAAAGUCCACCUACAUGGUCCUGCAAAUUGGCAAAGUUGUAAUUGGACUCAUGGAAAAAUGAUUUGAAUCAUUAAUACAUCAGACAAAGGGUGUGACAAUAACAUGAUAACUGUAGAUGUUAUUGCUACCAUUUGCCAAUAAGUAUGGGAUUUGAAUUCAAAUCUAUAGCAUGUGAUACCAUCUCAGAUUCACAUUUUCAGCUGAGCAUCCUUCAGUUCAGUGUCUUGAGUGUCUCUCAUUUGAUUCUCUAUUCUUGUAUCAUAAGAGUUUUAUUAUUGUUUACUUCGGCUAGACGCCCUUCCCUAUGGAGGUUCUGUGUAGGAUUUCAAUCCUCGAUUCAGACUGUGAAAACAAAUCAGACCAUUGAUGAACAAGAAGCUUCCCCUACUACAGUUUUGUAAUUAAAGGUUUGUUAUUACAUGCUGUUGGAUUCUAGAAGGUUCCUAUAAGUUCAAGGAGUCACUCAAAAGUUAAAAGAGGAACUUUAGUUGAUCCCACUCAGCUGUUUAAGGGUUAGGGACUUAGGGGUGGGUCUUAUAAAAAGAGGUUGCUAUGAGUACACAUUUUUUGUAGUCCUGAUUAGAGGGGAACCAUUGAAUUGUUUAAUGAUCUUAAGAUAAAUUAGGAUAUGGUCUCAUAAAAUAAAUUAAACAUUAUUUCAACUUUAAACCCCCUUCUCUCUUGCCUUUGAGGCCAAAAAAAUUCAUAAUUGGCUUAUUGUAUAAAAAGGUCAUAAUUGUUGAGAGAGGUGGUGGGGUGAUUUGGUAAGUAUUAAGGUAUAUAUAUAUAUGGUCUUAGUGUUCAUUCCACUUAAGCUACAAUAACUUAUUUAUUAUGAGAUGAAGCAUCUUUGAUCUAAAAAAGAUGGAUGCGCAUGGUUCCCUUCUCUGCUCUCUGCUAUUGUAACUCUUAACACAAAUACAGUAGAACCUCUUUAAAUUAAUACUCGAUUUGUUAAUCUCUCUCUAAAUUAAAGAAAUUCUCUGGUCCUAAUGUACAUGGUAAGUAACUAAAUCAACAUUCGAUAAGUUAAUAAUUUCUCUAAGUUAUUAAAUUUUAAUAAAAAUGUACAAGUCCGACGCUAUUAAUUUAAAGAGGUUCUACUGUACUAUGGCUAUUUACAUCCAUAUUGUUUCUUUUUAUACUUGGAUCCACUAAUAAUCUGCAAAUAAAAGUCCUUAAACUUGGGCCUUCGAUGGAUAACCUGGAUUAGGAGGCCCAACUCUUAUAGCCCAUAGAACCUCAAACAAAGCUGGCCCACAAAGGUGAACCCCAAGAAGAUUAAUGCGGCCGAUGUGGGACAAAACAAAAACUUUUUGUAACUUUAUAAGUAAUUAAGUAGUAUUUCUUCAUCUGGUAAAGUAAAAAAGAAUUUAUCUGGUUGGUUUCUAAGUCAAAACAACUGAAAUGAGUUGCAGUCAUGGUGAGCUUAUUUCUUCAUGCUUUCUCUAGUUUCAUGCCCCUUUUGGAAAAAUUUGCAAACUCACAAGUCAUUUUCUUUACAAGAUUUUCUCUACUUUCUUGCAUGGGGACAUGGGGUCACCAUAUAUCUAGCUCCAUGUAAUUUCUCAAGUAGUUGCUACUUAGAAUAUAGUUUCUUCAUGGACCUUGACCCUAAGCUAAUAACCUUAAUCAAAGCCUUGUUCUUCAGUCAAAAUCAGAUUAUUAUCUUGACCGACCAAUUGACCACUGAUAUUCAGCAAAGUCUUCACGUACAAAGAAAAAAAAAGGCAGGCGGCAGGUCCCUCCAAAAAACACGAAACUCAAAACUUUCAGAUGAAGCUAUCAUCAUAUAUACAGUAUAUAUUCAGCAGGUCCAUCGACAGUAUUUGACCGGUUUACGCGGUUCUGAAUACUGAUAAAUAACUUGAAUUUAUAUGGUUCAUAUACCCUUAGGUAGGUAGAUAUUAUGGUAAAUAUCAAUACGCGUUAUGUUGCAGUAUGGGAUGAAUUUGGGGACCAACACAGAAAGUAACCAAAUUAGCUAUAUGAUUCUAUUCCAUAUUUCCAUCAUGUGAAACUAUGUUAUCAUUCUUUUCCAAAAUGGCGCCAACAUGGUAAGACUGAUGUGCUAAAAAGCCUACUUUCUUUCAUAUAAGUAACAAAAAUGAGAAACCACUAGGAAAUGAGGAAUUUGUUCUCUACUCUUUAGAUAGAGAAUUUCCUUUUUUUCACUUGUAUUAUUGUAUGUAUAUAUAUAUUUCCAUUCUCCAAUCCAAUGCUAGCAACUUCAUCAAGCUUUAAUAGAUUCAAUACUUGAGUUCAUUUGAUUCAAUAUUCAUAUAGUACUGUACCCAAGUUUUUUUCUUUUCUCAAAAUCUUCGGCUUUUUAUCGAUAAAAUAUGGUGUGGAUGGGAGAGAUGUGGAAUACUGGUUUUGGGUCAACAAUUGCAAGCAUUAUGUUAAUGUAUGCAAUGUUUCAGCAGUAUUUCCCUUAUCAUCUUCAAGAAAAAAUCCAUAAAUAUGCUCAGUAUCUUUUUGGCAGAGUUAACCCUUAUAUACAGAUUACCAUCCAUGAAUAUUCUGGAGGGCGUUUCAAGCGUAGCGAAGCCUAUAUGGCAAUUGAAACCUACCUUAGCGCGAAAUCUUCUAAACAAGCAAAGCGGCUUAAGGCUGAUAUUGGCAAGAAUUCUAAAAACCUAGUCCUUAGCAUGGAUGAUCUCGAAGAAGUCAUUGAUGAAUAUCAAGGUGUUCAACUUUGGUGGGCUUCACGCAAGUCGAUUUCUACUCAGCAAUCUGUCUCCCUUUACCCUAGCAACGCUGAUGAUAAACGUUACUACACACUUAAAUUUCAUAAAAAGUUUAGGGGACUUGUUGUUGAUUCAUAUUUGAAUCAUGUUUUUGAAGCAGCAAAAGUACUUGGGAUGAAAAACAGGCAGAGAAAGCUUUACACUAACAACCCAAGUGAUAAUUGGUAUGGUUACAAGAGUUCUGUGUGGAGCCAUGUUGUGUUCAAUCACCCAUCAACAUUCCGAACACUAGCAAUGGAUGCAGAGAAGAAAAGUGAUAUUAUGAAUGACCUCACUACAUUUAGCGGAGCAAAAGACUACUACGCGAAAAUUGGGAAGGCGUGGAAGCGCGGUUAUCUUCUCUAUGGACCUCCUGGAACUGGUAAGUCUACUAUGAUAGCUGCAAUAGCUAACUUGUUAGAAUAUGAUAUCUAUGAUCUUGAACUAACCUCUGUGAAGAAUAACACUGAACUGCGUAAACUAUUGAUCGAAACUUCAAAUAAGUCCAUAAUUGUCAUCGAAGACAUUGAUUGUUCGCUUGAUCUGACUGGCCAAAGAAAAAAUAAGAAAGGAAAGGAAGAAGAAAAGGAGGGGGAGGAUCCAAUAGCUAAGAAGGCUAAAGAAGAGACAAGUAGUAGUGAGGGAAGCAAAGUUACCCUAUCUGGGCUUCUGAACUUCAUUGAUGGCUUAUGGUCUGCUUGCGGUGAAGAGCGACUUAUCAUCUUCACUACUAACCAUGUGGAAAAACUCGAUCCAGCUCUUAUUCGAAGAGGUAGAAUGGACAAACACAUUGAAUUGUCAUAUUGUAGCUUUGGAGCAUUCAAAGUGUUGGCCAAGAAUUAUUUGGACCUUGAGUCACACCAUUUGUUUGGGACUAUCAAACACUUGUUGGAAGAGACUCAAAUGACUCCAGCUGAUGUUGCCGAGAAUUUGAUGCCAAAAACUAUAAAUGGGAAUUUUGCCGAACUUUGCUUGGAGAAUUUGAUUGAAGCUUUACAGAACAAAAAAGAAGAAGCAAAGUCCAAAGCAAAAGAGCGUGAAAUGUAUAGUAAAGAUGAAGCUGCAGCUGUGAAUCAAGUAUUAACCAAUAAUGAAGCUAAAGUGAAUGACACAACUCUACUGCUUAAAAAGGCCGGAAAGGACCAUCAAGGAUGUUAGCUAAGCUAGCAACUACAAUGGUAACAAAAAAAGUGAUAUUAACAGAGCCAGAAUAUGUAUCUUAUCAUAUGUAGGACAAGUGCAAUCUCUUUAGGUGCCGAUCGACAGAAUUUUAUUCAAUAUGAUCUUUCUUUUCCCUUGUACUAAUUAUUUCGCAACAUUCUUAGAAUUACUGUGUUCAACAUAGUGAAACAAACUCGCCUGAAAAAACAAGUAAACAUCAAGUUGGUUGAAGUAAUGUGCGUGAUAACUUGUGGUGCCUUGGCCUAUAUUUCACAAUUAGAACCACCUGGUCCUCCAUGCUCCAUUACAUAUCCAUUGUCACCUUGUUCACCAUCAUUAAUUUUGUGCUUUCUGUUACUAAAAAUAAAAAUUCUAAAAUGACUAAUAUUGCUUAUUGGGCUGGACUCGAAGGCCUACUCAAAGUCAUCAUCCAGGCCAUAAAAAAAGUCCUUUUAUUGGACCUUCAUACAACUCAGUCUUUAAACUCCAGAAGUGCACAUUUCAGCAGUUUGCAGGACUGCAACAAGUAACUUGCUAGAGACCUAGAGUGCUAUAAACUCAUCAUGCCUUCCAAACUGAGGAUACUUAGUAUGUGCAUGGAAUCAAUUUUCAAUCUAUUGAAUCUACAUUUUACACGAAAAAAAAAUGGUAAUUGACCUAAAAACAUGAUAUGAUGUGCCCAUGAAUGUAUGAGUGUAGGUAGAUAAGUUGGUAGAAAAUCCAGAAGUUUGCGUGUGAAGAAGUUCAUAAAUCAUGUCAAAAGCACUGGAACUGGACUACUGGAGUUCAGAAUCAGAAGUUCAGAGCAACAGCUAAAACUCACAUGCUAUUUGAUUUGCAGACUAUGCAGUACAAACAGAAUCAUACAAAAACCUUCAUGAUACCAGAUUACCACCACAUGCAUGUCCUUAUUUCACAUGUGAACAACAACCAUUUUACUUGGUUCAAAAAUAAAAAGUUUUAAUUUUAAAUAAAAAAAUAUAAUUUUUCUAAAACUUGGUCCCCACACUUGAACUUGUAGUCAAAUUGAUUGGCCCAUUUGUCUAAACAAAACUAUGUGUGAAACUACCAUGAAAUAGCACUUGGAUAGAUAUUAAUUUUAUUUGGUGAAUAGGCUCAAGGGAAGAAGACUCUUGUCUUUCUCUCUAGUCUCUCUCUUUUUUUACCUAUAAUUUUGUUUUCAACAAAACUCUUGCUUGCUUCCUUCCUUCCUUCUUAAAACUCUCUCUUAUCUCCAAACUUUUUUUCAUUUCAUCAAUCACUAGAACUAGAAGAUCAUGAUACCUAUGAUGGGUAUGGGAGGUGAGAUGUGGAGUAAGUUUGGUUCAACUUUGGCUAGUAUUAUGUUCAUGUAUGCUAUGUUUCAACAAUAUAUUCCAUAUACUUUUAGAAGCAAAUUUGAGAAGUAUGUUCAUAAAUUGAUUGGAUAUGUUAAUCCAAAUAUCCAGAUUAGAUUCCAUGAAUUUGUGGGUGAGCGUCUCGAGCGCAGUCAAGCUUAUACUGCAAUAAAGAAUUACCUUAGUAGUAAUUCUUCUAAACAAGCAAAAAGACUCAAAGCUGAUGUUGGGAAAGAUAGUACUAAUUUGGUACUUAGUAUGGAUGAUUAUGAAGAAGUACCUGAUGAACAUGAAGGGGUUAAGGUUUUAUGGGCUGCAAGCAAAAGCUCCCCAAAAACCCCAAGUUUCUCUUUGUAUCCAACUUCUAGUGGUGAUGAAAAGAGGUAUUAUCAACUCACAUUUCAUAGGAAAAACAGAGAUGUUGUAAUUAAUUCCUAUUUAAAUCAUGUAUUAGAAAAAGGGAAGGCGAUCGCUGUACAAAAUCGACAAAGAAGACUAUAUACUAAUAGCACUGGCCAUAGUUAUUAUAGUUUUAAGAAGAGUAAUUGGAGUCAUGUAGUGUUUGAUCAUCCAGCAACAUUUCAAACACUUGCAAUGGAAGCAGAGAAGAAGAAUGAGAUAAUUGAUGAUCUCAUUACAUUCAGCAAAAGCAAAGAUUAUUAUGCAAAAGUUGGCAAAGCAUGGAAACGUGGGUAUCUUCUAUAUGGACCUCCUGGUACUGGUAAGUCUACAAUGAUAUCUGCAAUGGCUAAUUUAUUAAACUAUGAUGUAUAUGAUCUUGAAUUAACAGCUGUUAAGGAUAAUACCGAGUUGCGAAAACUGUUAAUUGAAACAUCAAGUAAGUCCAUUAUUGUUAUUGAAGAUAUCGAUUGUUCGCUCGAUCUUACUGGGCAAAGAAAGAAGAAAACAGAUAAAGAAGAUGAAGAAGAAACUGAUCCAGUUCGGAAAAGGGCUAAAGAAGAGAGUAGUAUAAAGGAAAGCAAGGUUACUCUGUCUGGUUUAUUGAAUUUUAUUGAUGGUAUAUGGUCAGCUUGCGGUGGAGAGCGGAUCAUUGUGUUUACGACUAAUCAUGUUGAGCAACUUGAUCCAGCUCUAAUUCGGAGAGGUAGAAUGGAUAAACACAUUGAAUUAUCUUAUUGCAGCUUUGAAGGGUUUAAGGUUUUGGCCAAGAACUACUUGGAUAUUGAUUCACAUGAACUAUUUGAGGUCAUUCAAGAAUUACUAGCUGAAACCCAAAUGACUCCAGCUGAUGUAGCAGAAAAUCUAAUGCUGACAACUUUUACAAGAAACACUGACAAGUGUUUGGAGAAUUUGAUUCAAGCUCUCAAGACUGCCAAAGAAGAGAAGAAGUUGAAGGCAGAGGAAGAAGCAAAAGAAGAAGAGAAGAAAAGAUUGAAAGCUGAGGAAAAGGUUAAAGAGGAAGAACACAAAAGCAUGAAGACUGAGGAAAAGGUGAAAGACUUGAAAGUUGAUGAAAAGGUGAAAGAGGAUCAAACAGAGGCCAAAGAAGAUGCAUCAACUCCCUCCUCCAAUUGAUAAUACAAGUGUCUUCAAAAUGUUUUUCUGCUUUUUUUGUUGUGUUUUGUUGUAAUAAAGGUUAAUUCUAUAAAUUAAGUCUUCACCCUUUAUGUAUUAGAAAGUAAUCUUAUUUUUAAGGAAGCUUUUCCUCUAAAGUCAAAACUUGUGUGGUUUACUUGCAAUUGAUUAAGUGGAUAAAAAGACUUUGAAUGUGAUAAAGGGGAGUAUUUCAUUUCAAAUAGUAAUAGAAAACUCAUCCAAUACAGGCCAUCUUUUAACCUAGGAACAUUCUGACUCACUCAUAACUCAUAUGUCAUAAUAUAAACUUUUUAAAAGAACAAAUCUAGCAAGAAACAAAAACACAUACUCAUCAGUUUCAUAAUGAAUGAGAUGAAAUGAAUGAAUAAUGGUUUAAAGAAAGAAGGGAGUAGGGACCAUGAUAUGUAACAUAUGGAAAAUGUUUGCAGUGCUGAGUUCAAUCCAUUUUUGCAGACGUAUAUAGAUAGAAAUUGGAUAAUGACAAGAUACAACAUCAUAAUCUUUGCUUUUCAAGAAAAGAAAAUUUAAACCAAUGGAAAUAGGAUAUUUAUAGAGGUGUUCAGAGUUUCAGACUGUUACACACGGGAAAAAGGUAAUGUUACACACGCGAUAUUUUCCGUUUUUCCAGAGAUCGGCACGGUACGGCACACGGAAUAUAUUCGGAUAUUAAAACACCCCAUGCCGGUCGGCAUAAAUCGGAUAUUCGCGGCAUAAAUCGGCAAAAACCGAUAUUUAUCGAAAUUUUAAAAAUUUUCAAUUUUAAAAUUAACACAUUUAUUUUUAAUCCCCCGAAGUAGAAUUUUCGAUGAGAUUAUCAAUAAAAGGUCCAAAAGGCCCUAGACGUUUGGAAACUUUCGCGACGAACUUGAUGGCCCUCCAAGAGCAAUAUAUCAGAAAGAAACGAAAAAAAAACAUGUCCAUGCCAAAGUGAAGUUCUCUCUCACUUUUGGCAAACCAGUAUACUGUUUGUAUCCAAGGUUUGUUUUUGU